This 459-nucleotide ribosomal RNA is filed under the name uncultured bacterium. Its description in RNAcentral is "partial 16S ribosomal RNA". It matches the Rfam family "Bacterial small subunit ribosomal RNA", at positions 338 to 795 of the family's 1533-position model. The record is from RNAcentral.
CCUACGGGGGGCUGCAGUGAGGAAUAUUGGUCAAUGGUCGGGAGACUGAACCAGCCAAGCCGCGUGAGGGAUGAAGGUACAGAGUAUCGUAAACCUCUUUUGUCAGGGAACAAAGGCGGGGACGUGUCCCCGGAUGAGUGUACCUGAAGAAAAAGCAUCGGCUAACUCCGUGCCAGCAGCCGCGGUAAUACGGAGGAUGCGAGCGUUAUCCGGAUUUAUUGGGUUUAAAGGGUGCGCAGGCGGUCUGUUAAGUCAGCGGUCAAAGUCCGGGGCUCAACCCCGGCCCGCCGUUGAAACUGGCAGUCUCGAGUUGGAGAGAAGUAUGCGGAAUGCGCGGUGUAGCGGUGAAAUGCAUAGAUAUCGCGCAGAACUCCGAUUGCGAAGGCAGCAUGCCGGCUCCACACUGACGCUGAGGCACGAAAGCGUGGGUAUCGAACAGGAUUAGAUACCCCGGUAGUC